Molecule: ribosomal RNA, 509 nt
Filed under: uncultured bacterium
Lineage: Bacteria
Description: partial 16S ribosomal RNA
Rfam family: Bacterial small subunit ribosomal RNA
Source: RNAcentral
UGGGGAAUAUUGCACAAUGGGCGAAAGCCUGAUGCAGCAACGCCGCGUGAGUGAUGAAGGUCUUCGGAUUGUAAAGCUCUGUCUUUUGGGACGAUAAUGACGGUACCAAAGGAGGAAGCCACGGCUAACUACGUGCCAGCAGCCGCGGUAAUACGUAGGUGGCGAGCGUUGUCCGGAUUUACUGGGCGUAAAGGGUGCGUAGGCGGAUGUUUAAGUGAGAUGUGAAAUACCCGGGCUUAACUUGGGUGCUGCAUUUCAAACUGGAUAUCUAGAGUGCAGGAGAGGAGAAUGGAAUUCCUAGUGUAGCGGUGAAAUGCGUAGAGAUUAGGAAGAACACCAGUGGCGAAGGCGAUUCUCUGGACUGUAACUGACGCUGAGGCACGAAAGCGUGGGUAGCAAACAGGAUUAGAUACCCUGGUAGUCCACGCCGUAAACGAUGAGUACUAGGUGUAGGAGGUAUCGACCCCUUCUGUGCCGCAGUAAACACAUUAAGUACUCCGCCUGGGGAA